This 3002-nucleotide long non-coding RNA is filed under the name Callithrix jacchus (white-tufted-ear marmoset). RNAcentral's name for it is "lncRNA (ENSCJAG00000070777.1)". The record is from RNAcentral. Lineage: Eukaryota; Metazoa; Chordata; Mammalia; Primates; Cebidae.
AUAGACUGGCCAGCUUAAACAACAGAAAUUUAUUUUCUGGCAGUCCUAAAUGUUACAAGUCCAAGGUCAAGGUGCUGGCAGGGAUAAUUUCCUCUCAGGGUCCUCAGGGAAGGAUCUGUUUCAGGUCUCCAUCCCUGGCUUGCAGAUGGCCGCCCUCUUGCUGCCUUUUCCAUACCCAGCUCUCUGUACACGUAUAUGCCUGAUGUCUUUUUGUUGGUUCAAUUUCCUCUUCUUAUGAAAACACCAGUCAGAUUAGAUUAGGGCCUACCCUAACAGCCUCAUUUUAAUUUAAUCAUCCCCUUAAAGUCCCUAUUUCCAAUCCAGUCACAUUUGGAGGUACUAGGGGUUAGGACUUCAAAAUAUGAAUGUAGGGGAGACCUAUUUCAGCCCAUAUCAAGAGCCAAAAGUACCAUCUCUAUCCUCAAAAUCACAGAGAGAGGGACUUCAAUUGUUUCAUCUGAAUUAAAAAUUAGAAUAAAGAAACUCUGGUGUGUGUGUGUGUGUGUGUGUGUGUGUGUGUGUGUGAUGGAAUACUACUCAGCCCUAAAAAGGAAUGAAUUAACAGCAUUUACAAUGACUUGGAUGAGAAUAGAGACUAUUAUUCUAAAUGAAGUAACUCAGAAAUGGAAAACCAAACAUCGUAUAUUAUCACUGAUAUGCAGGAGGUAAGCGAUGAGGAUGCAAAGGCAUAAGAAUGAUGCAGUGGACUUUGAGGACCUGCAGGGACGAAUGGGAGGUGGUCGAGGGUAAAAGACUAUAAAUAUGGUGCAGUGUAUACUGCUUGGGUGAUGGAUACACCAGAUUCUCUCAAACAACCACUAAAGAAUUUACUCAUGUGACCAUGUGACCAAAUACCACCAAUACCUCACUAAGGUAUGAAAAAACAAAAUUUUAAAAAGAAUUAGUUGGGAAAGUAGAUGUAAAAUGCUUAUCUAAGUUUGCAGCAUAUGAUGCAUGCAUAAAAACUUAGACAAUUACAUUCCGACUAAAAAAGUAGAAAAUACUUUUAAUUGGGCUAUACCAGUAAGGAGCUCAUAGUGUCACCAGAAGCGACAAGCAUGAGAAUGUUUGCUAUAUAAAAUGUUUGAGUGAAAUGAAAUCACUCUGAGGACAACAACCUGUUCUAAUUAUAUUUUAUGUUUCUCUUGCCACCAGCUCCGAGGUCUGUUGUCCAGUGAUUGGAUACAAGCUGGAAUGUCCUAGCAGAUCUAUUGUGGCAAAGAUGUGUAAAAUCCCUCUACAUGGCAUUCUGCAUAAGAUUUGUGGAGAAAAUACGGGGAACUGCUCACUGGGGAUGCUAUGCUUUGUUUGCCUGUCCCAUGAAAGCUACACCUAGAGGCAUUUACGAACUCUAAGCUAGGGCCCAAAGCAAAUAAUUAUAGCACUAAACAAUCCACCCCUCAAAGCAUAUAUUUUUCUCUAAUUUUUUGUUGUUUAUGAAGUUUCACAUAAGAUAAUCACAUUACAUUAAUUAUGAUGUAAACCUUUGAUUAGAGAGCUUUGGAGAAAUUCCUCAGAAGAUCAAUCUUUCAAAUAAAAAUAAAUAUGUCAGUCUCAGGUAUUAGUAUCAUUGAAAUAAUGGCCAUUUCUUUAUUUAUAUAGAUGCUGUUAUGUUAUUUAGUAUUAUCUUGGUCCUUUUAUUUAAAUAAAUUCUUUGGUUCUCUAACUAUUAAUGAUUCACUUUCUUUUAGAAGUUAUAUAAUUCAUUCUAUCCCCCAGCUUCAGAUUAUCUUGUUAUAACAUCCAGCAUCUAAUUUCCAAUUUUGCAAUCACACUCUUUCAACUCCCAUCCUGCCCAGUGGAGAUAUAUGGGAAGGGGUAAGAGGAUGCUGUGGUCUGGGGGAUGCUGAUUUCCUGGCUUGGUUUUGCCACCUGCUACCUACAUGUACCCUUUCUGAGGCUCAGUUGUGACUUGUGUAAUUGGGUUUGGUUACACUUCACAGAGUUAUAAGGCUAAAAGAGAUGGUACUUUGAAUACUGCUUUGUAAAAUUCUGUGAAAGCAAAAGCCAAGGACUUAUUAAGGCUCUUCAUGUCAAUGCCCGUUCAAUGGCUGUAUCUGUUACCUCAUUUUUGGUGACAUUGUCUUAAUAUUGAAAGCCCGUUAUUAUUAAAUUAGUAUAAGGAAGAAACUUCAUAAAAUGAAGAUAUGGAUUUCAUAUUCAGAAAAGUUUAAAAACUGCCAUUGCUUACUCCCUACCCAUAAAUAUGCUCCAGUCGAAACCAUAAAAUGAAUUUUUUACUCCCUGUUAGGAAGUAUCAGCUUUAGGAAGGAUCAUCUUCUGGAAGAAUGAUUUUUCCUCAAAGAAACCAAAGUUCAUUUCUGUUCAGGAAUAGGGUGAUAUAUUUACAUAUGCAAACAAAUGCUAUAUUUCUUUGUGAUCCAAAGGACUUACACUCUAAUGGUGAGUAGGGCAGAUUUUUAAAGUGUGGGUGAAGGGUCCACCUAGUGCACAGUGAGCUGUAGGACAUGGGUGAAAUAGAUUUCAUCUCCCUGUGCACAUUAAAGUGGACAUUCACAAUGUGUAUAAAGGAGCUAUAGAGAAAUGCUUUUCCUCUUGCUUAUUUCCUGUUUCAUUUCUAUGAUCUAUGAAACAGGAAAGCUAAAUGCUGCACCCAUUGAUAGGUGCAUUCGACUGUGGUAGCAUUCCCUGAGGCCAGCUGGUAGCUAACCUGGUAUUCAGCCAAUUGUGUCAUUUUAUAUCUAUGCACAGGAUCAAGGUCAGCAGCAUAUUGCAGAUGACCUCUUAUGUGGACUAAUGUUUAUCAGCUGACUUUGGAAACCAUAACCAAGCUAUCCUUCAUUAAGUGCGCUUUCCUUAAGCAGUGCAGCAUAAAGUGGGUUUGAACAGAACUAGACCUCUUACGUAACCUGCUUGUUUUCACUGAAGAUUGGCAACAGGUCAAAAAAGGCAUCGGGCAAGUUCCCACGCAGUUCAGCUUGUUUAUUAACAGUAAGAGACGAGUUAUAUGAUGUUAUCCAAUGAUACCAUCCCCUAAAACA